CAGUCGCCGCGGGAAUACAGAGGGUGCGAGCGUUAAUCGGAUUUACUGGGCGUAAAGCGUGCGUAGGCGGCUUCUUAAGUCGGAUGUGAAAUCCCUGAGCUUAACUUAGGAAUUGCAUUCGAUACUGGGAAGCUAGAGUAUGGGAGAGGAUGGUAGAAUUCCAGGUGUAGCGGUGAAAUGCGUAGAGAUCUGGAGGAAUACCGAUGGCGAAGGCAGCCAUCUGGCCUAAUACUGACGCUGAGGUACGAAAGCAUGGGGAGCAAACAGGAUUAGAUACCCCGGUAGUCCAUGUCUCUUAUAA
This 301-nucleotide ribosomal RNA is filed under the name uncultured bacterium. Its description in RNAcentral is "partial 16S ribosomal RNA". It matches the Rfam family "Bacterial small subunit ribosomal RNA", at positions 509 to 809 of the family's 1533-position model. The record is from RNAcentral.